AGCGUACACGGUGGAUGCCCUGGCAGUCAGAGGCGAUGAAGGACGUGCUAAUCUGCGAUAAGCGUCGGUAAGGUGAUAUGAACCGUUAUAACCGGCGAUUUCCGAAUGGGGAAACCCAGUGUGUUUCGACACACUAUCAUUAACUGAAUCCAUAGGUUAAUGAGGCGAACCGGGGGAACUGAAACAUCUAAGUACCCCGAGGAAAAGAAAUCAACCGAGAUUCCCCCAGUAGCGGCGAGCGAACGGGGAGCAGCCCAGAGCCUGAAUCAGUGUGUGUGUUAGUGGAAGCGUCUGGAAAGGCGCGCGAUACAGGGUGACAGCCCCGUACACAAAAAUGCACAUGCUGUGAGCUCGAUGAGUAGGGCGGGACACGUGGUAUCCUGUCUGAAUAUGGGGGGACCAUCCUCCAAGGCUAAAUACUCCUGACUGACCGAUAGUGAACCAGUACCGUGAGGGAAAGGCGAAAAGAACCCCGGCGAGGGGAGUGAAAAAGAACCUGAAACCGUGUACGUACAAGCAGUGGGAGCACAGAGCAAUCUGUGUGACUGCGUACCUUUUGUAUAAUGGGUCAGCGACUUAUAUUCUGUAGCAAGGUUAACCGAAUAGGGGAGCCGAAGGGAAACCGAGUCUUAACUGGGCGUUAAGUUGCAGGGUAUAGACCCGAAACCCGGUGAUCUAGCCAUGGGCAGGUUGAAGGUUGGGUAACACUAACUGGAGGACCGAACCGACUAAUGUUGAAAAAUUAGCGGAUGACUUGUGGCUGGGGGUGAAAGGCCAAUCAAACCGGGAGAUAGCUGGUUCUCCCCGAAAGCUAUUUAGGUAGCGCCUCGUGAAUUCAUCUCCGGGGGUAGAGCACUGUUUCGGCAAGGGGGUCAUCCCGACUUACCAACCCGAUGCAAACUGCGAAUACCGGAGAAUGUUAUCACGGGAGACACACGGCGGGUGCUAACGUCCGUCGUGAAGAGGGAAACAACCCAGACCGCCAGCUAAGGUCCCAAAGUCAUGGUUAAGUGGGAAACGAUGUGGGAAGGCCCAGACAGCCAGGAUGUUGGCUUAGAAGCAGCCAUCAUUUAAAGAAAGCGUAAUAGCUCACUGGUCGAGUCGGCCUGCGCGGAAGAUGUAACGGGGCUAAACCAUGCACCGAAGCUGCGGCAGCGACGCUUAUGCGUUGUUGGGUAGGGGAGCGUUCUGUAAGCCUGUGAAGGUGUACUGUGAGGUAUGCUGGAGGUAUCAGAAGUGCGAAUGCUGACAUAAGUAACGAUAAAGCGGGUGAAAAGCCCGCUCGCCGGAAGACCAAGGGUUCCUGUCCAACGUUAAUCGGGGCAGGGUGAGUCGACCCCUAAGGCGAGGCCGAAAGGCGUAGUCGAUGGGAAACAGGUUAAUAUUCCUGUACUUGGUGUUACUGCGAAGGGGGGACGGAGAAGGCUAUGUUGGCCGGGCGACGGUUGUCCCGGUUUAAGCGUGUAGGCUGGUUUUCCAGGCAAAUCCGGAAAAUCAAGGCUGAGGCGUGAUGACGAGGCACUACGGUGCUGAAGCAACAAAUGCCCUGCUUCCAGGAAAAGCCUCUAAGCAUCAGGUAACAUCAAAUCGUACCCCAAACCGACACAGGUGGUCAGGUAGAGAAUACCAAGGCGCUUGAGAGAACUCGGGUGAAGGAACUAGGCAAAAUGGUGCCGUAACUUCGGGAGAAGGCACGCUGAUAUGUAGGUGAAGCGACUUGCUCGUGGAGCUGAAAUCAGUCGAAGAUACCAGCUGGCUGCAACUGUUUAUUAAAAACACAGCACUGUGCAAACACGAAAGUGGACGUAUACGGUGUGACGCCUGCCCGGUGCCGGAAGGUUAAUUGAUGGGGUUAGCGGUAACGCGAAGCUCUUGAUCGAAGCCCCGGUAAACGGCGGCCGUAACUAUAACGGUCCUAAGGUAGCGAAAUUCCUUGUCGGGUAAGUUCCGACCUGCACGAAUGGCGUAAUGAUGGCCAGGCUGUCUCCACCCGAGACUCAGUGAAAUUGAACUCGCUGUGAAGAUGCAGUGUACCCGCGGCAAGACGGAAAGACCCCGUGAACCUUUACUAUAGCUUGACACUGAACAUUGAGCCUUGAUGUGUAGGAUAGGUGGGAGGCUUUGAAGUGUGGACGCCAGUCUGCAUGGAGCCGACCUUGAAAUACCACCCUUUAAUGUUUGAUGUUCUAACGUUGGCCCCUGAUCGGGGUUGCGGACAGUGUCUGGUGGGUAGUUUGACUGGGGCGGUCUCCUCCUAAAGAGUAACGGAGGAGCACGAAGGUUGGCUAAUCCUGGUCGGACAUCAGGAGGUUAGUGCAAUGGCAUAAGCCAGCUUGACUGCGAGCGUGACGGCGCGAGCAGGUGCGAAAGCAGGUCAUAGUGAUCCGGUGGUUCUGAAUGGAAGGGCCAUCGCUCAACGGAUAAAAGGUACUCCGGGGAUAACAGGCUGAUACCGCCCAAGAGUUCAUAUCGACGGCGGUGUUUGGCACCUCGAUGUCGGCUCAUCACAUCCUGGGGCUGAAGUAGGUCCCAAGGGUAUGGCUGUUCGCCAUUUAAAGUGGUACGCGAGCUGGGUUUAGAACGUCGUGAGACAGUUCGGUCCCUAUCUGCCGUGGGCGCUGGAGAACUGAGGGGGGCUGCUCCUAGUACGAGAGGACCGGAGUGGACGCAUCACUGGUGUUCGGGUUGUCAUGCCAAUGGCACUGCCCGGUAGCUAAAUGCGGAAGAGAUAAGUGCUGAAAGCAUCUAAGCACGAAACUUGCCCCGAGAUGAGUUCU
RNAcentral lists this ribosomal RNA (2777 nucleotides) under metagenome. RNAcentral describes it as "bacterial LSU rRNA". It matches the Rfam family "Bacterial large subunit ribosomal RNA". The record is from RNAcentral.